Molecule: unclassified non-coding RNA, 320 nt
Filed under: plant metagenome
Description: partial contains 5.8S ribosomal RNA, internal transcribed spacer 2, and large subunit ribosomal RNA
Rfam family: 5.8S ribosomal RNA (bases 1-105)
Source: RNAcentral
GAAAUGCGAUAAGUAAUGUUAAUUGCAGAAUUCAGUGAAUCAUCGAAUCUUUGAACGCACAUUGCGCCCGCCAGUAUUCUGGCGGGCAUGCCUGUUCGAGCGUCAUUACAACCCUCAGGCCCCCGGGCCUGGCGUUGGGGAUCGGCGGAAGCCCCCUGCGGGCACAACGCCGUCCCCCAAAUACAGUGGCGGUCCCGCCGCAGCUUCCAUUGCGUAGUAGCUAACACCUCGCAACUGGAGAGCGGCGCGGCCACGCCGUAAAACACCCAACUUCUGAAUGUUGACCUCGAAUCAGGUAGGAAUACCCGCUGAACUUAAGC